UACGGGGGGGGCAAGCGUUGUUCGGAAUUACUGGGCGUAAAGGGCUCGUAGGCGGCCAACUAAGUCAGACGUGAAAUCCCUAGGCUCAACCUAGGAGCUGCGUCUGAUACUGGAUGGCUUGAAUCCGGGAGAGGGAUGCAGAAUUCCAGGUGUAGCGGUGAAAUGCGUAGAUAUCUGGAGGAAUACCGGUGGCGAAGGCGGCAUCCUGGACCGGCAUUGACGCUGAGGAGCGAAAGCCAGGGGAGCAAACGGG
This 253-nucleotide ribosomal RNA is filed under the name uncultured bacterium. RNAcentral describes it as "partial 16S ribosomal RNA". It matches the Rfam family "Bacterial small subunit ribosomal RNA", at positions 524 to 776 of the family's 1533-position model. The record is from RNAcentral.